Molecule: ribosomal RNA, 590 nt
Filed under: Lodderomyces orthopsilosis
Lineage: Eukaryota; Fungi; Ascomycota; Pichiomycetes; Serinales; Debaryomycetaceae
Description: eukaryotic LSU rRNA
Rfam family: Eukaryotic large subunit ribosomal RNA
Source: RNAcentral
GCGGAGGAAAAGAAACCAACAGGGAUUGCCUUAGUAGCGGCGAGUGAAGCGGCAAAAGCUCAAAUUUGAAAUCUGGCACUUUCAGUGUCCGAGUUGUAAUUUGAAGAAGGUAUCUUUGGGUCUGGCUCUUGUCUAUGUUUCUUGGAACAGAACGUCACAGAGGGUGAGAAUCCCGUGCGAUGAGAUGUCCCAGACCUAUGUAAAGUUCCUUCGAAGAGUCGAGUUGUUUGGGAAUGCAGCUCUAAGUGGGUGGUAAAUUCCAUCUAAAGCUAAAUAUUGGCGAGAGACCGAUAGCGAACAAGUACAGUGAUGGAAAGAUGAAAAGAACUUUGAAAAGAGAGUGAAAAAGUACGUGAAAUUGUUGAAAGGGAAGGGCUUGAGAUCAGACUUGGUAUUUUGUAUGUUACUCUCUCGGGGGUGGCCUCUACAGUUUACCGGGCCAGCAUCAGUUUGGGCGGUAGGACAAUUGCAAAGAAAUGUGGCACUGCCUCGGUAGUGUGUUAUAGUCUUUGUCGAUACUGCCAGCCUAGACUGAGGACUGCGGCUUCGGCCUAGGAUGUUGGCAUAAUGAUCUUAAGUCGCCCGUCUUG